ACUCAAAGGAAUAGACGGGGGCCCGCACAAGCGGUGGAGCAUGUGGUUUAAUUCGACGCAACGCGAAGAACCUUACCAAGGCUUGACAUGGAAACGGCCGGCACAGAGAUGUGCCUUCCCCUUCGGGGGCGUUUCACACAGGUGGUGCAUGGUUGUCGUCAGCUCGUGUCGUGAGAUGUUGGGUUAAGUCCCGCAACGAGCGCAACCCUUAUGUUUAGUAGCUACCGGGUAAAGCCGGGCACACUAAAGAGACUGCCGUGGAGAACACGGAGGAAGGUGGGGACGACGUCAAAUCAUCAUGCCCCUUAUGUCUUGGGCUACACACGUGCUACAAUGGCUGAAACAAAAUGACGCAAGACGGUGACGUGGAGCGAAUCAUAUAAAAACAGCCUCAGUUCGGAUUGCAGUCUGCAACUCGACUGCAUGAAGUUGGAAUCGCUAGUAAUCGCGAAUCAGCAUGUCGCGGUGAAUACGUUCCCGGGCCUUGUACACACCGCCCGU
Molecule: ribosomal RNA, 501 nt
Filed under: uncultured bacterium
Lineage: Bacteria
Description: bacterial SSU rRNA
Rfam family: Bacterial small subunit ribosomal RNA
Source: RNAcentral